GUUGUAUGGUUAAGUGACUAAGCGUACACGGUGGAUGCCUUGGCAGUCAGAGGCGAUGAAAGACGUAGUAACUUGCGAUAAGCCCAGAUUAGGUAGUAACAACCAUUUGAGUCUGGGAUUUCUGAAUGGGGAAACCCACGUGCAUAAGCACGUAUCCUUACCUGAAUACAUAGGGUAAGGAGGCGAACCGGGGGAACUGAAACAUCUAAGUACCCCGAGGAAAAGAAAUCAACCGAGAUUCCGAAAGUAGCGGCGAGCGAAAUUGGACUAGCCCUUAAGCUUUACACGCGUUAGACGAACGGUCUGGAAAGUCCGACGAUACAGGGUGAUAGUCCCGUAGUUGACGACGUGUGUUCAGUGAAAUCGAGUAGGGCGGGACACGUGAUAUCCUGUCUGAAUAUGGGGGGACCAUCCUCCAAGGCUAAAUACUACUGACUGACCGAUAGUGAACCAGUACCGUGAGGGAAAGGCGAAAAGAACCCCUGUGAGGGGAGUGAAAUAGAACCUGAAACCGUGUACGUACAAGCAGUAGGAGCAGGCUUUGUCCUGUGACUGCGUACCUUUUGUAUAAUGGGUCAGCGACUUAUAUUCAGUGGCAAGGUUAACCAUCUAGGGGAGCCGUAGGGAAACCGAGUCUUAACUGGGCGUUCAGUCUCUGGAUAUAGACCCGAAACCAGGUGAUCUAGCCAUGGGCAGGUUGAAGGUUGAGUAACAUCAACUGGAGGACCGAACCGACUAAUGUUGAAAAAUUAGCGGAUGACUUGUGGCUAGGGGUGAAAGGCCAAUCAAACCUGGAGAUAGCUGGUUCUCCCCGAAAGCUAUUUAGGUAGCGCCUCGGACGAAUACUACUGGGGGUAGAGCACUGUUAAGGCUAGGGGGUCAUCCCGACUUACCAACCCUUUGCAAACUCCGAAUACCAGUAAGUACUAUCCGGGAGACACACGGCGGGUGCUAACGUCCGUCGUGGAGAGGGAAACAACCCAGACCGCCAGCUAAGGUCCCAAAUUACUACUAAGUGGGAAACGAUGUGGGAAGGCUCAGACAGCCAGGAUGUUGGCUUAGAAGCAGCCAUCAUUUAAAGAAAGCGUAAUAGCUCACUGGUCGAGUCGGCCUGCGCGGAAGAUGUAACGGGGCUAAGUAGUAAACCGAAGCUGCGGCAAUAUACUUUUGUAUAUUGGGUAGGGGAGCGUUCUGUAAGCGGUUGAAGGUGUGUGGUAACGCAUGCUGGACGUAUCAGAAGUGCGAAUGCUGACAUGAGUAACGAUAAAGGGGGUGAAAAACCUCCUCGCCGGAAGACCAAGGGUUCCUGUCCAACGUUAAUCGGGGCAGGGUAAGUCGACCCCUAAGGCGAGGCCGAAAGGCGUAGUCGAUGGGAAACGGGUUAAUAUUCCCGUACUUCUUACAAUUGCGAUGGGGGGACGGAGAAGGCUAGGUGGGCCUGGCGACGGUUGUCCAGGUUCAAGUGCGUAGGCUUAAGAGUUAGGUAAAUCCGGCUCUUUUUAAGGCUGAGACACGACGUCGAGCACCUACGGGUGUGAAGUCAUUGAUGCCAUGCUUCCAGGAAAAGCCUCUAAGCUUCAGAUUGUAAGGAAUCGUACCCCAAACCGACACAGGUGGUCGGGUAGAGAAUACCAAGGCGCUUGAGAGAACUCGGGUGAAGGAACUAGGCAAAAUGGUACCGUAACUUCGGGAGAAGGUACGCUCUCGACGGUGAAGUCCCUUGCGGAUGGAGCUAUUGAGAGUCGCAGAUACCAGGUGGCUGCAACUGUUUAUUAAAAACACAGCACUGUGCAAAAUCGUAAGAUGACGUAUACGGUGUGACGCCUGCCCGGUGCCGGAAGGUUAAUUGAUGGGGUUAGACUUCGGUCGAAGCUCUUGAUCGAAGCCCCGGUAAACGGCGGCCGUAACUAUAACGGUCCUAAGGUAGCGAAAUUCCUUGUCGGGUAAGUUCCGACCUGCACGAAUGGCGUAAUGAUGGCCACGCUGUCUCCACCCGAGACUCAGUGAAAUUGAAAUCGCUGUGAAGAUGCAGUGUACCCGCGGCUAGACGGAAAGACCCCGUGAACCUUUACUACAGCUUGGCACUGAACAUUGACCCUACAUGUGUAGGAUAGGUGGGAGGCUUUGAAGCACGUACGCCAGUAUGUGUGGAGCCGUCCUUGAAAUACCACCCUUGUAGUGUUGAUGUUCUAACGUUGACCCCUAAUCGGGGUUGCGGACAGUGCCUGGUGGGUAGUUUGACUGGGGCGGUCUCCUCCCAAAGAGUAACGGAGGAGCACGAAGGUGGGCUAAUCACGGUUGGACAUCGUGAGGUUAGUGCAAUGGCAUAAGCCCGCUUGACUGCGAGAAUGACAAUUCGAGCAGGUGCGAAAGCAGGUCAUAGUGAUCCGGUGGUUCUGAAUGGAAGGGCCAUCGCUCAACGGAUAAAAGGUACUCCGGGGAUAACAGGCUGAUACCGCCCAAGAGUUCAUAUCGACGGCGGUGUUUGGCACCUCGAUGUCGGCUCAUCACAUCCUGGGGCUGAAGUCGGUCCCAAGGGUAUGGCUGUUCGCCAUUUAAAGUGGUACGCGAGCUGGGUUUAGAACGUCGUGAGACAGUUCGGUCCCUAUCUGCCGUGGGCGUUGGAAGAUUGAAGGGGGCUGCUCCUAGUACGAGAGGACCGGAGUGGACGAACCUCUGGUGUUCGGGUUGUGUCGCCAGACGCAUUGCCCGGUAGCUAAGUUCGGAAUCGAUAACCGCUGAAAGCAUCUAAGCGGGAAGCGAGCCCUGAGAUGAGUCUUCCCUGAUACUUUAAGUAUCCUAAAGGGUUGUCGGAGACUACGACGUUGAUAGGUCAGGUGUGUAAGUGCUGUGAGGCAUUGAGCUAACUGAUACUAAUUGCCCGUGAGGCUUAACCAUACAACACCCAAGGGGUUU
Molecule: ribosomal RNA, 2916 nt
Filed under: Vibrio parahaemolyticus O1:K33 str. CDC_K4557
Lineage: Bacteria; Pseudomonadati; Pseudomonadota; Gammaproteobacteria; Vibrionales; Vibrionaceae
Description: bacterial LSU rRNA
Rfam family: Bacterial large subunit ribosomal RNA
Source: RNAcentral